RNAcentral lists this small RNA (374 nucleotides) under Pseudomonas fulva 12-X. Its description in RNAcentral is "Pseudomonas sRNA CrcZ". It matches the Rfam family "Pseudomonas sRNA CrcZ". The record is from Rfam by way of RNAcentral. Lineage: Bacteria; Pseudomonadati; Pseudomonadota; Gammaproteobacteria; Pseudomonadales; Pseudomonadaceae.
ACAACAACAAUAACAAGCAUGACCCACGAUAAUAAAAAUAAGACGUAACGGCUUCAGCACAAUAAGAACAAGAUCGCAGAAGGCGCAGCUAACUGAUUAUUUUGGAGAGGAUCGCCUCUCGGCACCACAGCCAGACAGACAACAACAAUAAAUGUCGACGGUCAGCACCCACGGGUGAAGAUCAGGGCCUGAGGUAGCGUCAGCAUCCAAAAUAAUCCGUUCGCUCUUGCUCCCACUCGGGAGGUACUCCGGACCUGAUCCGGAACAGGCACCCCAACAAGAACAACAGCCUGCAUAACAAGAACGACGUAAUGCACUACUUAAGGGGAGCUUCGGCUCCCCUUGUCGUUUCCCGCCCCGGCCUGCCCGCCACC